Leopardus geoffroyi (Geoffroy's cat) is the source of this 4188-nucleotide long non-coding RNA. RefSeq lists it as uncharacterized. Lineage: Eukaryota; Metazoa; Chordata; Mammalia; Carnivora; Felidae. The record is from RefSeq and is a predicted model, not a curated record. The transcript is spliced from 8 exons.
AAGCUGUGAUUUGAUGGUUGCUAUGGAGUUUGCUAGAGGAAAUGGGGGUUGGGGGCAAGGAUCAUUGCAGGCAGAGAGAACACCGCAAGGUGUAAGGCCUGAAAGAAGGCAGAGGGGCCACCCAGGUAAAGAGAUGGGAGCAAUUAGCAUGUGAUGAGUUGGGAAAAAGCCAGAAAGGGACUUGUGAGCCAGAGAAAGGAAUGUAGACUUUAUCCUGACAAUUCAGGGCUUUGGAGGGGGUUUUACCAUUUGGUUUGGUUUUGGUUUUUUGUUUGUAUGGUUUGCCUUGGAGGGUUUUUAACAAAGAAGUGACCAAUCAGAUUUGAUUUAUAGGUGGGCCUGGAGGCCCUGUAAGUCCCAAUACAGGGUCAGUAGCAGCAUUUUCAAGGGCAGGGGCUAUGUUCUCCCACUGGGGGCUCAAAUUGGGACUCCUACUUGGGGUGAUUUCUUCACCCCUUCCCUGAUGCUUUUUUCCUACACCCACCCCCACUGUGACUGGUUUGUUCUUUGGCAUCCUACUGGCCCUUCCUAAACUUUAGUCAAGAUACUAGGUUGACAGUAUCCCCAAUCUACCACCCUAUUUUUCAAUCAUUUAUUUACUCAUCUCACUUAUAAGAAGUUGUUAUAUGCCAGGUGUUGUGCCAAUCACUGGGGGGUGCGGAAGGGAAGACUCACAUGUUUCCUGAUCUCAAAGACUCAGAAUUUGUCCAGUAGUUCCUCCACUUGCCCAUGCACCAGAAGCCUCUGUAAAGUUCUGAAAAAUACAGCUGAUUGAAUAUCACUGGACUGACUAAAUUGGAAUCUUUGGAGGAACUGAGUCACUUUGGGUGGGAAGGUGAUACAAAGAGAGAGAAGAAAAAUGAAUGAAUACCUGAUCAUCUCCAGAAAAGGGGUAAGAAAUCAGGACCAUCAAGCCUAGAGAAGUGGGUGAAAAGUGAUUUCCACCUGGACAAAGUCACUGCGUCCCUGUGCAGAGGCAGGCACCCUGACCCCAGCCUGAAAGCUGAAGUUGGCUCAAAGGAGGCAGGUAGGAGGAGGCCACUUCGUGUCUCACUGAGAGGAGGCAAGCUGUCUGGCUCCUGCUUAAAAACCUAUGUGCGAUUUUGUGAUUUUUUAGUCCCGACCACAGGUAAUUACAGAGGCUUUGCCUGGGGGGGGGGGGGGGGGGGGAGGGGUGCGGAGAAGCUGCCCUCGCCACAGCAACCUUGGUGCACGGCCUCUAUCGCAUCUGGAGGGAGGUGCAGUCAAGCACUCAGGCCCCCCUCGCUGGUCACGCUCUUGGCUUCUUUGCAUUCCUAGCUGGGAGACACCUUUGUUCCCGUCUCCCUGUCUGAGGCUUGAGCAGCGGUCCUCUUCAGGUGCCCAUCUCUGCUGAAUCCUCCUUAGUGGAGGGAGGGAUGGAUGUGGGGGAGGAAACCCUGAAGACACUCUCUUCACUGUCUCAGUACCCAGUACUUUUCCACUCGGAGCCCUUCCCCCAGCCUUCUCCUCCAACCUCAGGGUCCAUAAAGCUGCCUUUUCCUCAGGGGCUUCCUCAUGAGUGAGACAAGCCUCACAUCUACACUGAUGCAGCUGCCCCUGACUGGUAUGCAGUUCCAUGGCAGAAAGUGGAACAGGGGAUGGGCACCUUCUCUGAUUUUAGACUCUUGCUUGUACUGUCACAGUGAGUGAUUAAGGGCUUGUUGCUUUAAUUGGCUACUCUGACUCCUGACAGCAAAGCCCUCUCUCCCUCCCUCUGAGUUGAGCUCCUGACAGGAGCUCAAGCCCCCUACCCAGUGGGGAGCACACACUUCAAGCAUGGCCCCAUUUCUGGUGGAGGCCAUGUUCCUAUUUCAGUUCUCCACUCCGUUUCUCUGUCUCUCUCACUCAUACACAACAGUACCUGAGGACAAAAAGAAACCCAGAGUUGCCACGGGGGGCUGGAAGGGAAUCAGUAGGAAAGAGAGGAAUAACGAAGCAGGCCCUGGCCAGAUCCAGACUCAGAGACCAAUUUCUUUCCAUCUAUGCUGCAGAGGAGGAAUCAGAGUUGGCAAGGUGAGUGACUUCGCUCUGGCCACCCAACUAAAACCCAGGCCCUGAUGAUUUCCAGGCUGCCUCCUUGAUCUUUCAACCUCCUGCUACAGGUUCCGGGCAGGGCUGCAUCUCUGGGUGCCCAGGACUGUGCCCUGCCCUCUGUAGUCUGUCCUCUGAGGAGCCUCAGCCUCACUGGGGAAAGGGAGACUAGAGCAGGGCUCUAAACUUUGAGCAAGCUCACCAUCAGUCACCUGGAGGGCUGGGUAAAACACAGACCGCCAGCCCCACUCCCCGAGCGUCUGAUUCAGUAGGUGUGGGGUAGGGUCUGAGAAUUUGCGUUUCUAACAAGUGCCCAGGUGUGGCUGAUGAGAACCGCCGGGCUAGACUAUGAACAGCCAAAAAGCAACAGAGAAAGAAAGAAUGGAAACUAAGCAAAGGAAGGAAGAAGGGAAGGGGUAGGGGUGACAUCGUAUCAGGGCAAGAAAUGAACCUGAAGGGCUGGGCCCUGGGAGGUUUUCCUCUUCCUCAACCACCCUGAUCUCAGGCUUACCCAGAAGUUUUCACAGUUUCCUUUAAACCCCUCCCCCACCCUCUGCGCUCUGGCCCACAGGUGAGGGCAAAAGCCCCACUUAAAUGAGAAGCCUUAGAGCCUGCGCUUAAAAAGCCCUGAGGUGGCUUCUUUUCCAACACCGUUCAUCCUCGCUUCCUUGUUGCGAUGCUGCAGGCUGCUCAACUGCCAGCUACUCAUGAGCCUCAGGUCCUGAGGAUAGAGUCCUGGAGGGUAGUUGUAGCUAACUUCCCCAUCUUUCUCUGGCUGCCCCCGUGCACUCACAGGAGCCCUGGAAAGCCCAGAGAAAGGGGCCUAAAGCUGUUCCAGCGACAGCAGGAGGAGGGCUAGAGAGUAGUCGACGCAAAGGCAGAGAGCAGGAACCCUCCGCCCAGAGAAGAGGCACUGGGGGACCCUGGACGGGGUGAGGCCAGCUGGAGGCCCCCUCCGGCUGCCUAGUGACCCACAGAGCACCAACUGACAAGCAGCUGCUGUGAGCUUCUCUGCCCCAGGCUGGCUCUGCAGAAACAAGUGCUAACAGAAACCCACAACGGUCUGGAGAAGCGACCUUUGAUUGCUCAAGAGAGCUUGUGACUAACAUCCCAGAGACAGAGUCCAGAGGGAGGAGAAGAAGAAUCCUGAAAUGAAGCUGCCAGGACCUGCUGGAGUCCUGUCUCAGGGAUGACCUAGGAGGACCAGGUCAGCACCCCAGGAAACUCUGGCUCUGAACACACUCUCGAGUACACGCUAUUCCAGGCAUUAAUCCUUCUAGACAAGUCCUGAGAUACCAAGAGAUACCAGAAAUGAAAAUGUGCCCUGCUUAGUGACUGCCUGUUUGUGUUUGGCUUACAGAGGCAUCAUGGGGACUCGAGUGGGACAAGCUGGAAUGCUGGUUUUACCUGGUACACUGUCCGGUCAAUUAGUCAAGGGGCAAGAAAACUUUUCCUGAGCCAGAAAGCAGAGCUUCGAGACUCAGCUUUGUCACCUUGCUGGGUCUCAGUUUCUUCACCUGUAAAUGAUGGGAUGGUACUGGAUGACAUGCCUUCCCCACUUUCUCCGUCGGGCAGUCAAUCACUAAGAACUGACAAUUACGCCUCCUGAUUGUAUUCAAAGCCAGACACCUUCUCUCCACCACACUGCAUGGCCUCCAUUCAGCCCCAUCAUUUCCCACUGGCAUCGCUGCAUCUCCUAACCGGUCUCACUACCUUCACUCUCCUCCCCUCUUCAUGCUGGGCCAGUUGUUUUUCUGAAAUUCAAUUCUUGAAUGUUUGACCCUCUAAGAGGCCCUGCCCAACUUUAUCGGCCAUAAGGCUCUACGGUGGGGUCUCUGUCUGCCCUGCAGCCUUAUUUUCUCCCCCAGCGCUCUCCCCUGCUUCACAUCGUCACGCACUCCAGGCACCCAACGCCAAGAGGUGGACCUCUCCCCCACCCGCGUAUAUGCUGUUGUGCCCUUGGAUGGGCACUCACUCAUAAACCGCUACUGGCCUGCAAUGAAGCAGAAAAUGAUUGAAUCACAGUGAAUAAAUGGGGGAAGAAGAAAAAUUAAGAGUAAGCACUUGGAAACUUUUAUAACUACCUGACAACAAUUUUAUGUCUGUUGAAUCUAAUAAUAAAAAUCUGGGCUCCUA